GACUUUGUGGUGUAAUGGUUAGCACAUCUGGUGCGUAUUUGAGAGGUCCAGGUUCGAGUCCCGGCGAGGGCA
RNAcentral lists this transfer RNA (72 nucleotides) under Stegodyphus mimosarum. It matches the Rfam family "tRNA". Rfam says of the family: Transfer RNA (tRNA) molecules are approximately 80 nucleotides in length. Their secondary structure includes four short double-helical elements and three loops (D, anti-codon, and T loops). Lineage: Eukaryota; Metazoa; Arthropoda; Arachnida; Araneae; Eresidae. The record is from Rfam by way of RNAcentral.